Balaenoptera musculus (blue whale) is the source of this 96-nucleotide small nuclear RNA. The record is from Ensembl. NCBI's taxonomy places the organism in Eukaryota, Metazoa, Chordata, Mammalia, Artiodactyla, Balaenopteridae.
GCGCUUGCUUCAGCAGCACAUAUAUUAAAAUUGGAACAAUACAGAGAAGAUUAGCCUGGCUAAGUUGCUAGAGCUGUUGAAGCCACCAAACUUUUU